This is a non-coding RNA of Megalopta genalis, 1091 nucleotides long. NCBI's taxonomy places the organism in Eukaryota, Metazoa, Arthropoda, Insecta, Hymenoptera, Halictidae. The record is from RefSeq and is a predicted model, not a curated record.
AUCAGUGGAUGUCUGUGUAGAGAAAGGAUUUAUUCGUUUAAUUAAAAUAGGAGAUGUUUCUUGUUCACUAAGAGAUAAGUUUGUUUCUAAAUUAUUUUCUAUUCUACUGUCCUUAGAUUCAUAGAUAUUUAAAAUUUCAUUUCGAUUCAGCUCUGUACAUUCUGUAAAAUUUGGAUGCAAUUAUAUUUAGCACUAUUGUAUCAAUAGAAAAUACUGCAUAAAGAAUAUAUUGUAAUACCGGUAUUAUCUUCAUGCUGUGGUAAAAUAGACCUUCUCAAACGAUUGGUUUGGAGAAUCAUCUCUUUAUUGGCAGUCUUUUGUUGACACUUAUUGUGAGGAGACUUUUCGAUGAAAUUUUCUUUUAAUUGAUAGUUUCUUGACCAAAUACUAGUAUGCUGAAGUUGAACUGAUUUUCGACCCCAUGCAUUAGAUCUAUUUUGAUUCUGAAAAAUACCAAUUCAAACGAUAUUCAGGAUUAAAAUAAAACUUAAGUACAUGUACAAAUUUUGUAUAUUUCUAUAUGUAUUGAUAUUUACCUCCUCUUUAUCAGGAUCAAAAUUAUGAAGCACUUCUAAAGAAAAUGGAUCACAAUUUCCUAAAGCAAAUUGAAGUGCAUCAGCUUGAUUUGUUUCUACACCAGCAUAAUAUAAUUGCUCUUCUGUUAUGUCGGGUGAAGGUGGAUUCAAGCGAACUUGUUUUCUUUGUAGAGGACAAAACACUAAUUGAUGUUUAAAAGUAAUAUCUGCUAAUAUAAAUGCAUCUCUGUAUUCUUUUGUUACAACUAACGAUUUCAUCUUUAAAUAAGAUCCCAAACGAGUUAAAGCCUAUAAUAAUAAUUUCAACCCAAUACCAGAGAGGGAAGGCAAAUAAUCACAGCCUGAUAAAAUACACAUAUAACGAAAACUGUCCAUACUAAAUUGUUCUGCCUGCAGACCCAUAGCAAGAUGUAAAUGUUCUUGAUCUACCAAAGUACCAUGACCAUAUACAUCCAUUUUAAAAAAUACCUAUGAUAAAAGGAAAAAUAAGUAAAAAUAAAAUUUAUAUUGUAUUCAAAUUGAAAUAAACAGAACAUGAAGAUAUUUAAGUUGUAA